GAAAAGGAAGAGGGUGCUCCCGUACAAACGCAUCCUCUUCCUCGCUCGCCAAUGCCGGCCGCCCCGUCGCCGGGGACGACUAGGACUUCCUCCCCGGCAACCACAGCCUGCUGCAAGGGAACACACUGAGGAGGCCGCGGUGUCUCUAUUGUUCUUCCUCUGAAGCUGUUUGUCUGAACCUACAUCUGGCGACCACUUUCCACUCCGGACUCCUUUCUCGAUUGAGUUCCUCCUCCGGCCUCCGCCCAUUCGCCCGGAGGAGUCAACUCGUCGACGGCAUCAGCUGCCGUUGUGAGGGAGUGCUUGGAGCCGGUGAUGGUGUGGCGGUCGGCGAGCAUCCGAUUCCGAGGUGGUGCCGCUUGAGACUGGACUAGGCAGCUUCUGCGCGGCCGCAUAGAAGGUAUGUAUGACCGCUAUCAACAAUUUGCUGGAACAAGAAGGAACCUGAAGAAGGAGAUUCAAGUAGCAACAGUGUAAAAUAGCUUUACUCGGUGGCAUUACGCCCGUGGCAUUGUUCCGCCUUGCACAGCUUACAUUUUUUUAGGUCUCUUCAAAACAAUGUUGACGACUCAGAUGCUAAUAAGCCAGAGAAAUUCGAUAAACUCCUCACAGAUGCUUUAUGGAAUGGAAUACAAAAUCCAAGAAGAGGUUUCUUUUUAGUGCACGUGAGGUGUGAAGGAACUGGGAACAAUAAUUUAUCUUAUCAUGUCUAAUACGUAGAGAAGGUACGAUGGCAUUGGUAGAUCAUCAAACUUUGGUGAACCAGCAAAGCGAUCAUCGGCCCCUCCCACAUCGGUCGUACAAGCUAGCUUGCAGCCGAAUAAGGAAUUAGCAAACAAGAUUGCCAGCAAAGCUGAGGCGCUGAAGGGAUCUCCACGUCUUCCAGCAAAAUUAAGCAUGUAAUCGUUUCUUGGCCUCCAAUCAAUAUAUUUUCGGUAGGCUUUGCCUCCUGUUUCUGUUAAAAAAAAACUAAAGGAGUGGUGAACCAGAGUGAGUUCAUUUGGUACAGGCAAGUAUAGGUGUUGCCAUCUUUAUUUGGCAGUGUAAAUAUAGCAGUAAUGCAAUCAUAUGAAUUACUAGAUCCUGAUGGCGCGCGUUGCCGCACCCAUCCAUUUUGACAAUAUAAAGAGGCAGAACACAAAUAUCUAAGAA
This is a long non-coding RNA of Brachypodium distachyon (stiff brome), 1152 nucleotides long. RefSeq lists it as uncharacterized. The transcript is spliced from 7 exons. NCBI's taxonomy places the organism in Eukaryota, Viridiplantae, Streptophyta, Magnoliopsida, Poales, Poaceae. The record is from RefSeq and is a predicted model, not a curated record.